CUUAACCGCGGAAGUGCCCUUGAAACUGUUGCUCUUGAGUCCCGGAGAGGCUGCCGGAAUUCGUGGUGUAGCGGUGAAAUGCGUAGAUAUCACGAGGAACGCCAGAGGCGAAAGCGGGCAGCUGGACGGGUACUGACACUGAGGCACGAAAGCGUGGGGAGCAAACAGGAUUAGAUACCCUGGUAGUCCGCGCCGUAAACGAUGGAUGCUCGCCGUUGCCUCGUCAAGGGGCAGUGGCUAAGCUAACGCGUUAAGCAUCCCGCCUGGGGAGUACGAUCGCAAGGUUGAAACUCAAAGGAAUUGACGGGGGCCCGCACAAGCGGUGGAGCAUGUGGCUUAAUUCGAUGCAACGCGAAGAACCUUACCUAGGCUCGAACGCUAGGCGCCCGCCCCUGAAAGGGGGCUUUCCGCAAGGACGC
RNAcentral lists this ribosomal RNA (419 nucleotides) under uncultured Bacteroidota bacterium. RNAcentral describes it as "bacterial SSU rRNA". It matches the Rfam family "Bacterial small subunit ribosomal RNA", at positions 608 to 1029 of the family's 1533-position model. Lineage: Bacteria; Pseudomonadati; Bacteroidota. The record is from RNAcentral.